GACGAACGCUGGCGGCGUGCUUAACACAUGCAAGUCGAACGGAAAGGCCCUGCUUUUGUGGGUUGCUCGAGUGGCGAACGGGUGAGUAACACGUGAGUAACCUGCCCUUGACUUUGGGAUAACUUCAGGAAACUGGGGCUAAUACCGGAUAGGAGCUCCUGCUGCAUGGUGGGGGUUGGAAAGUUUCGGCGGUUGGGGAUGGACUCGCGGCUUAUCAGCUUGUUGGUGGGGUAGUGGCUUACCAAGGCUUUGACGGGUAGCCGGCCUGAGAGGGUGACCGGCCACAUUGGGACUGAGAGACGGACCAGACUCCUACGGGAGGCAGCAGGGGGGAAUAUUGCACAAUGGGCGGAAGCCUGAUGCAGCAACGCCGCGUGCGGGAUGACGGCCUUCGGGUUGUAAACCGCUGUCGCCUGUGACGAAGCGUGAGUGACGGUAAUGGGUAAAGAAGCACCGGCUAACUACGUG
This 468-nucleotide ribosomal RNA is filed under the name uncultured bacterium. RNAcentral's name for it is "partial 16S ribosomal RNA". It matches the Rfam family "Bacterial small subunit ribosomal RNA", at positions 28 to 507 of the family's 1533-position model. The record is from RNAcentral.